UACGUAGGUGGCGAGCGUUAUCCGGAAUUACUGGGUGUAAAGGGCGUGUAGGCGGGGAUACAAGUCAGAUGUGAAAUUCCGAAGCUUAACUUCGGGGCUGCAUCUGAAACUGUAACUCUUGAGUACUGGAGAGGAAAGUGGAAUUCCUAGUGUAGCGGUGAAAUGCGUAGAUAUUAGGAGGAACACCAGUGGCGAAGGCGACUUUCUGGACAGUAACUGACGCUAAGGCGCGAAAGCGUGGGGAGCAAACAGG
This 253-nucleotide ribosomal RNA is filed under the name uncultured bacterium. RNAcentral's name for it is "partial 16S ribosomal RNA". It matches the Rfam family "Bacterial small subunit ribosomal RNA", at positions 524 to 776 of the family's 1533-position model. The record is from RNAcentral.